GUAUUAGAGGUCCCGCCUGCCCUGUGACAGCAGUGUUUGACGGCCGCGGUAUUUUAACCGCGCGAAGGUAGCGUAAUCACUUGUCUUUUAAAUGGAGACCUGUAUGAAUGGCAUAACGAGGGUUUUACUGUCUCCUCCCCCCAGUCAAUGAAAUUGAUCUGCCCGUGCAGAAGCGGGCAUAAUGACAUAAGACGAGAAGACCCUAUGGAGCUUCAGGCAAAUGAUCAAGCACACAAGACCCUAAUAUUAAUCAAGUUUAGGAGAAACAAAAAUCUAUGAUCAAAAUGCCUUCGGUUGGGGCGACCAUGGAGGAAAGAAGAGCCUCCAAGUGGAAGGGGAAAACCCUUGAACUAAGACAAACACCUCUAAGUAGCAGAAAUUCUGACCAAGCAUGACCCAGGCUUGAGCCUGAUCAACGAACCGAGUUACCCUAGGGAUAACAGCGCAAUCCCCUCCCAGAGUCCAUAUCGACGAGGGGGUUUACGACCUCGAUGUUGGAUCAGGACAUCCUAUUGGUGCAGCCGCUAUUAAGGGUUCGUUUGUUCAACGAUUAAUAGUCCUACGUGAUCUGUUUCCAAAGACCGGG
Molecule: ribosomal RNA, 586 nt
Filed under: Gymnothorax sagmacephalus
Lineage: Eukaryota; Metazoa; Chordata; Actinopteri; Anguilliformes; Muraenidae
Description: partial large subunit ribosomal RNA
Rfam family: Bacterial large subunit ribosomal RNA
Source: RNAcentral